AUUGAACGCUGGCGGCAGGCCUAACACAUGCAAGUCGAACGGUAGCACAGAGAGCUUGCUCUCGGGUGACGAGUGGCGGACGGGUGAGUAACGUCUGGGAAACUGCCCGAUGGAGGGGGAUAACUACUGGAAACGGUAGCUAAUACCGCAUAACGUCGCAAGACCAAAGUGGGGGACCUUCAGGCCUCACACCAUCGGAUGUGCCCAGAUGGGAUUAGCUAGUAGGUGGGGUAAUGGCUCACCUAGGCGACGAUCCCUAGCCGGUCUGAGAGGAUGACCAGCCACACUGGAACUGAGACACGGUCCAGACUCCUACGGGAGGCAGCAGUGGGGAAUAUUGCACAAUGGGCGCAAGCCUGAUGCAGCCAUGCCGCGUGUAUGAAGAAGGCCUUCGGGUUGUAAAGUACUUUCAGCGGGGAGGAAGGCGGUGAAGUUAAUAACUUCACCGAUUGACGUUACCCGCAGAAGAAGCACCGGCUAACUCCGUGCCAGCAGCCGCCGUAA
This 504-nucleotide ribosomal RNA is filed under the name uncultured bacterium. RNAcentral describes it as "partial 16S ribosomal RNA". It matches the Rfam family "Bacterial small subunit ribosomal RNA", at positions 30 to 523 of the family's 1533-position model. The record is from RNAcentral.